CAACAAAACCCAAAAGCCAAUUACCCUCACUCCGAAAGAAAGAAAAAACAACGUACCUCUCAACUCCAUCGACGUACAAUGUCAACUUCAUCUUCUUCUGCUAGCAAACCACAACCAAAGCUUCCACUAAACAAAUCCCCGGCGACUAUGGCCAGCCUUUCUUCGGUGCCAUCAAGGAUCGCUACGUAUUUUUCUACAACCAAGGUCGUGACUGUUCUCGAUGCCAUAAGCUUUCCGAUUCUCUUCGACAACUCCAAAGUUGAAAAACGUGACAUCUUUGAUGGCACUUACAUGCCCUCCACAGACUUCACCGGUGGCUAUUGCAUUUGCUCAUUUCUAGACCCAUCGGAACCCAAACACACUUCUCUAAAAAAAUUCUUCUUGUCUCUACUCUCUGCUAACCACAAGAAUGUUAUACCACUUUUCCAUACCCACUUCACCGAUCUAUUUGUCCAAGCCGAGGCUCAGUUGUUAAAAGAUGGCAAGUCAGACUUUAACACACUGAAUGACAAAACUUCCUUCGACUUCAUCUUUGAGCUGUUCUUCGGGAAACACCCGUCGGACACAAAUCUGGGGUCGAAAGGAUCAACCUUGGUUACCCUUUGGCUCUUACCUCAACUUACUCCUCAGAUCACACUAGGGUUGCCAAAGUUUUUCAAUGUUUUCGAAGAUUUCUUGCUUCACACGUUUCCCUUCCCGGCUCUUUUUGUCAAACCAGCUUACAACAAGGUUUACAAGGCCUUUUACGAGUCGGCAGCUAAGGCCUUGGACGAGGUUGAGAGUAAUUUCGGGAUUUCAAGAGACGAAGCAUGCCACAACCUCGUGUUCUUGGUUUGCUUCAAUGCUUAUGGUGGCAUGAAGCUUUUGUUCCCUUCCUUGUUGAAAUGGGUUGGACUAGCAGGAGAGGAUCUGCACCGCAAGCUUCGAGAUGAAAUCAGACAAGCUGUUAAAGAAGCUGGAGGUAAGAUUACUCUUGCAGCUUUGGAAAAGAUGACCCUAACCAAGUCAGUGGUUUAUGAGGCUUUGAGGAUUGAUCCUUCCGUCCCGUUCCAAUACGGAAAGGCUAAGGAGGAUCUAAUUAUCGAGAGCCAUGACGCUGCGUUUGAGAUCAAAAAGGGAGAAGUAAUCUUCGGGUAUCAGACCAUUGCUACUAGGGAUGGAAAGAUAUUCAAGAACCCGGAGGAGUUUAUAGGUGACAGGUUUGUAGGGGAGGGCGAGAAGCUACUGAAGUACGUGUGGUGGUCCAACGGCCCCGAGACGGUGAGUCCAUCCGCCGAGGACAAGCAGUGCGCCGGGAAGGAUCUGGUGGUGCUCAUGAACCGGAUGAUGUUGGUCGAGUUCUUCCUUCGUUAUGAUACUUUUACCCUCGACGUCGGGACGUUCUUGUUAGGUUCAAAAGUGACGUUCAAAACUUUGACCCCAGCUUCGUACUGAUGAACAUAAUUUGAAACUUGUCAAUCACCAAUUCUAUUUUACUUUUGCUUCUAUCAGCAUCCGAAUUAUGUACUAGUACUUCUUCCUUUUGGUCAAUAUUCUUUCUGCCAUUUUUUCAUUGAAUUGUUGGUUUCUUUUAAUUUUUGUAUUGUUUUUACUGAAGAGUUCAUUGUAAUUUGAAGAGUUUACUAAUUAAUUUACGUAUGAGUGCAUGCAUCUAACAUUUCUAUUAGUUCCUGUAUAGUUUCAUUUGUUUACAUAGUAAAACAUAUUUUUGUUUG
Molecule: RNA transcript, 1715 nt
Organism: Fragaria vesca subsp. vesca
Lineage: Eukaryota; Viridiplantae; Streptophyta; Magnoliopsida; Rosales; Rosaceae
Gene name: allene oxide synthase-like
Exons: 1
Source: RefSeq, a predicted model, not a curated record